AGAGUUUGAUCAUGGCUCAGAACGAACGCUGGCGGCAGGCCUAACACAUGCAAGUCGAACGCUCCGCAAGGGGAGUGGCAGACGGGUGAGUAACACGUGGGAAUCUUCCUAUUGGUAUGGAAUAGCUCAGGGAAACUUGGGGUAAUACCGUAUAAGCCCGAGAGGGGAAAGAUUUAUCGCCAAUAGAUGAGCCCGCGUCUGAUUAGCUAGUUGGUGAGGUAAUGGCUCACCAAGGCGACGAUCAGUAGCUGGUCUGAGAGGAUGAUCAGCCACACUGGGACUGAGACACGGCCCAGACUCCUACGGGAGGCAGCAGUGGGGAAUAUUGGACAAUGGGCGCAAGCCUGAUCCAGCCAUGCCGCGUGGAUGACUGAAGGCCCUAGGGUUGUAAAGUCCUUUCGACGGGGACGAUAAUGACGGUACCCGUAGAAGAAGCCCCGGCUAACUUCGUGCCAGCAGCCGCGGUAAUACGAAGGGGGCUAGCGUUGUUCGGAUUUACUGGGCGUAAAGGGCGCGUAGGCGGAUUUUUAAGUCGGGGGUGAAAUCCCGGAGCUCAACUCCGGAACUGCCUUCGAUACUGAAAGUCUGGAGCACGGUAGAGGUGAGUGGAAUUCCGAGUGUAGAGGUGAAAUUCGUAGAUAUUCGGAGGAACACCAGUGGCGAAGGCGGCUCACUGGACCGUUGCUGACGCUGAAGCGCGAAAGCGUGGGGAGCAAACAGGAUUAGAUACCCCGGUAGUCC
RNAcentral lists this ribosomal RNA (741 nucleotides) under uncultured bacterium. Its description in RNAcentral is "bacterial SSU rRNA". It matches the Rfam family "Bacterial small subunit ribosomal RNA", at positions 8 to 796 of the family's 1533-position model. The record is from RNAcentral.